AUUCUCAACCCCUCCAGGUUUCUGACCAGGGGGUGGCUUGGACUUGGACGUGUGCCAGCUAAUGGCUCGUCUUAAAAGGAUUAGUGGAAUCUCGACAUCCACGGCAGACGUAAUAAGUUUCGUCUCGCCUUUUGUCGUAGGUCUGCUUACAACCUGCAUUUGCGCACUUUAUGA
RNAcentral lists this unclassified non-coding RNA (174 nucleotides) under uncultured Cryptococcus. RNAcentral's name for it is "sequence contains ITS2". The record is from RNAcentral. Lineage: Eukaryota; Fungi; Basidiomycota; Tremellomycetes.